GAUGAACGCUGGCGGCGUGCCUAAUACAUGCAAGUCGAGCGAACAGACGAGGAGCUUGCUCCUCUGACGUUAGCGGCGGACGGGUGAGUAACACGUGGAUAACCUACCUCUAAGACUGGGAUAACUUCGGGAAACCGGAGCUAAUACCGGAUCAUAUAUUGAACCGCAUGGUUCAAUAGUGAAAGACGGUUUUGCUGUCACUUAUAGAUGGAUCCGCGCCGCAUUAGCUAGUUGGUAAGGUAACGGCUUACCAAGGCGACGAUGCGUAGCCGACCUGAGAGGAUGAUCGGCCACACUGGAACUGAGACACGGUCCAGACUCCUACGGGAGGCAGCAGUAGGGAAUCUUCCGCAAUGGGCGAAAGCCUGACGGAGCAACGCCGCGUGAGUGAUGAAGGUCUUCGGAUCGUAAAACUCUGUUAUUAGGGAAGAACAAAUGUGUAAGUAACUAUGCACGUCUUGACGGUACCUAAUCAGAAAGCCACGGCUAACUACGUG
RNAcentral lists this ribosomal RNA (497 nucleotides) under uncultured bacterium. Its description in RNAcentral is "partial 16S ribosomal RNA". It matches the Rfam family "Bacterial small subunit ribosomal RNA", at positions 28 to 507 of the family's 1533-position model. The record is from RNAcentral.